AUGCACGCAAAUAUGGGCCUCACAGCCUGUGCACUUGUACCAGACAGCCACAGAGGGGACCCUGGGCCUCUCAGCACCAACAGGGAAGUGCCAUCAGAGCCACGACACACAGCCUGCCGGCCAGCUUGGGAGCAGUGUGGUGUGUUUGCUCACAGGAACCGCUCCUUUGCAACCUGGCGGUCCGGCAGCUGUUUGAAGCAGGCCAGGCCCAGGGAGGCGCGGGGACUCCUUAACCGCGCUCCCCGAGGGGCCCCCGCGCCGGACCCACGUGCGCCGGAGCUGUCCGCUGUGCUGAACUCUGCUCCCGCGGAGAAGCGAGAGGACUGCGCCGCCGUCGUGGGCUGAGGACCGCUAGGGGACAGCCGGUCCCCUCCCUCCCCGGAGCGACUUCCCGCCCGCCGAGCCCCGCUCCCCAGGUAGGACCAUGCUCCUGGGUCUGACCUGCGUGGACUGCGACGCCUCUACAUUGAAUA
RNAcentral lists this long non-coding RNA (473 nucleotides) under Canis lupus familiaris (dog). RNAcentral's name for it is "lncRNA (ENSCAFG00040025332.1)". Lineage: Eukaryota; Metazoa; Chordata; Mammalia; Carnivora; Canidae. The record is from RNAcentral.